AAAGCUUGGAGGGUUUAGCUGCGCGGAGAGCUCAGCGAGCUCUUCUGUGUCUGUUUGGGGCGUGUGGGCUCCGGGAGCGUGAGGACCGGGAAGCUAGGAGGCUCCUUCCCUUCUGGCGGCUCCCUCACUGAGACCGGGCGGUUUGGUUGCGGGGGAAGUGGAGACGAGCCACCCUUGACCUUUGACUGCAAGAACUCACCUUGAGCAGGAUAGAGGCACGUGGACGGUGACCCUCGGGAUGCAAUAAAUGCUGAGACAGAUCAGCAAACAUUGAGUGGGCCAGACACUGUUCUGAAAAAUACGCAGUCGACUUUUGAACAGCACAGGCUUGAACUGCAUGCGGCCACUAAUACUCGGACUUCCUUCUGCCUCUGCCAUCCCUAAGACAGCAAGACCCACCCCUCCUGCUCCUCAGCCUACUCGAUGUGAUGAUGUAUUUUUGUGGAAGAUAAAACUCGUGAGCAGUGAAAGUGGAUAUUUAGCAGAGGAGAUUUCUAAGCCAAGUGUUGAAGAAGUCACUGGCUUCCUUCUGACCACUUAAGGCAAAACAUAAGAAGAUGGAAAUGGCUUGAAGAUGGAAUUAUCGAGCAAAAGGAACUAGAACUUAAAGAUGUGGAAAAUUCUCAGCCUACUCAUAUUGCAAAAAUGGAGAAAGUGUGUUUGGAAAAUAACACUAAGGGUGUGGCUAACUGACCAUUUGAUAUGGAGGUCAGUAUAGGUGUGAACCAUGGACUUAAUCAACCAGCGGUUUCCCAGCAGGACAACUGUCAGUUUGAACUAAAUAGGAAGGGGAUGGUAAAGAAUGAAGGAAAGUUGUUGGACUUUUUGGAUUUUACAGGACAGGACUAUAGAGCUAUUCAGUUGUGAAUGUGUGCUCUUGUUAAAGACAAGGGGAAGAAUGAACCCAAGGGCAAUGCAGAGGUCAGUAGGUUACCUUCUUAGUUUCAAAAGGAGGGACCAUUGCCUUGCUUUCAACAGAAAUGAGCUCCACCCAAAGCUGUUGGGGAUACCACCUCCUGGCAGAGCCCUGGAGCUGCAAGUCCUGUCCAGCAGAGCUUUUUGGAGAAGACCACCUCCCAAGUGGGUCUGCAAGACUGUACCUCUGCCCCAGUGUGUCCAGUGGCCCUAGAGGGGAGAGCAUCAAGCCACAGAGGAUUAUCUUCAGCCUGAAGACCUGGUGAAAGUUGUCUUGUGAGGUUUGGGACUCCCUUGGGAUCUGUUAACCCUUCUUUCUUUUCUAUUUCUCCGUGUCAGAAUGGGAAUGUCUAUCUAUGUCUGUCUCACCACUGUAUUUUGAAAACAUGUUUGGUUUCACAUGUUUGCAGCUGUGAAUUUUGCCUCAGAAUGAAUUGUACUCUGAGUCUCACCUUAUCUGAUUUAGAUGAUACUUAGAUAAGAGUUUGGAGUUGAUGAUGCUAGAAUGAGUUAAAACUUUGAGGGCUUUGGGGAUGGAAUGAAUAUAUUUUACAUGUGAGAAGGAUAUGAUCUUUGCGGGGUUUGGAACAGAAUGCAGUGGACUAAUGUUCGUGUUACCUCCAAAAUUUCUAUAUUGAAAUCUUAAUCCCAAUAUGAUAGUAUUUGGAAAUCAGGCCUUUGGGAAGUGAUUAGGUCAUGAGGGUAGAGCCCUGAUAAAUGAGAUUGAUGCUUUUAUAAGAAGAGGCCAUUUCAUAUGGAACCAAAAUAGAUCCUGUAUAGCCAAGACAAUCUUAAGCAAAAAGAACAAAGCUGGAGGCCUCAUGCUAUCUGACUUCAAACUAUACUACAAAGCUACAGUAUCCAAAGCAGCAUGGUAUUGGUACCAAAACAGACAUAUAGGCCAAUGGAACAGAACAGAGGCCUCAAAAGGAACAUCACACAUCUACAACCAUCUGUUCUUUGACAAGUCUGACAAAAACAAGCAAUGGAGAAAGGACCUCCUAUUUAAUACAUGGUACUGGGAAAACUGGCUAGCCAUAUGCAGAAAAUUGAAACUGGACCCCUUCCUUAAACCUUCUACAAAAAUUAACUCAAGAUGGAUUAACGAUUUAAAUGUAAAACCCAAAACCAUAAAAACCCUAGAAGAAAACCUAGGCAAUCAUAGGGAUGGGCAAAGACUUCGUGAGGAAAACGCCAAAAGCAAUUGCAACAAAAGCCAGAAUUGAUAAAUGGGAUCUAAUUAAUCUAAAGAGCUUUUGCACAACAAAAGAAACUAGCAUCAGAGUGAACAGGCAACCUACAGAAUGGGAGAAAAUGUUUGCAAUCUACCCAUCUGACAAAUGUCUAAUAUCCAGAAUUUACAAGAAACUUAAACAAAUUUACAAGAAAAAACAAACAACCCCAUCAAAAAGUGGGCAAAGGAUAUGAACAGACACUUCUCAAAAGAAGACAUUUAUGAGCCAGCAAACACAUGAAAAGAAGUUCAACAUCACUGAUAGUUAGAGAACUGCAAACUAAAACGACAGUGAGAUACCAUCUCAUGCCAGUUGGAAUGGCAAUUAUUAAAAAGUCAGGAAACAAUAGAUGCUGGUGAGGCUGUUGGUGGGAAUGUAAAUUAGUUCAACCAUUGUGGAAGACAGUGUGGCAAUUCCUCAGGAUAUAGAACCAGAAAUACCAUUUGACCUAGCAAUCCCAUUACUGGGUAUAUAUGCCAAAAGGAAUAUAAAUCAUUCUACUAUAAAGACACAUGCACAUGUAUGUUUAUUGCAGCACUAUUUACAAUAGCAGACAUAGAACCAACCCAAAUGCCCAUCAAUUGAUAGACUGGAUAAAGAAAAUGUGGUACAUAUACACCAUGGAAUACUAUGCAGCCAUAAAAAGGAAUGAGAUCAUGUCCUUUGCAGGGACAUGGAUGGAGCUGGAAGCCAUCAUCCUCAGCAAACUAACACAGGAACAGAAAACCAAACACCGCAUGUUCUCACUUAUAAGUAGGAGUUGAACAAUAAGAACACAUGGACACAGGGAGGGGAACAACACACACCAGGGCCAGUUGGGGAGUGGGGGGCAUUAGGACAAAUAGCUAAUGUAUGUGGGGCUUAAAACCUAGAUGAUGAGUCGAUAGAUGCAACAAAACACCAUGGCACACAUAUACCUAUGUAACAAAACUACAC
This is a long non-coding RNA of Homo sapiens (human), 3086 nucleotides long. Ensembl annotates it as STX18 antisense RNA 1 (head to head). Its record names the gene STX18-AS1. NCBI's taxonomy places the organism in Eukaryota, Metazoa, Chordata, Mammalia, Primates, Hominidae. The record is from Ensembl.